Molecule: long non-coding RNA, 1670 nt
Organism: Penaeus indicus
Lineage: Eukaryota; Metazoa; Arthropoda; Malacostraca; Decapoda; Penaeidae
Exons: 2
Source: RefSeq, a predicted model, not a curated record
UGUGUAUCUGUGUAUAUAUAUAUUAUCAGUAUUAUCAAUUUUGUCAAUCUUAUCUAUUAUUAUUAUUAUUAUUAUUGAUAUUGUUUUGCUGUUAUUAUUUUUAUUAUUAUUAUUAUUAUUAUGGUAAGCCAUAUAAAGAGCAACACUGAAAAGUUUGAGAAUUCUACCCCCAAAGGCAUCAGUGCAGGUCAAAACACACUGCCAGGAAAGAAAGAAAGGACAGAACACCAGAAAGACCAAACACAGAAGACCAAAAAGAAGACAGAAGAAGAGACAAGGAAAAAAAAGAAGAGACAAAAGACAAAAAGAAGAAACAGAAGACCGUCGCCUAUUCACGUAGUAGAAACAUUUUACAGCCUCUGAAGGCUAUUUAUUCCAAAGCCUACAAAUGACAGUAAAAAAAAAAAACAUCUAGAGAACUGAGAAGUCGACGAUCGACUUGCAUUGGAUUGAAGGGCGUAGAAAUUCUUUUAGGUUACGCGGGUUGAUAGAAUUGAUCUUGCACAAGACCGAGAGAGCCCCAAUACCCCUAUGGUGCCCAGUGUCCAAAUUUAAGUCAAAUAGGAGGAGAAAUGUAAUGGGAUUUAAGGAACGAUUAAGCAAUAGUAUGACUGUAACGAGCACAAGGGAUGUGAAUUUAGAAUGACCCAAAAUUCGUCUAGAAACCCCCCUGUAUACACCUCACUUAGUCUUUAUGCAUAUAUAUUAUUUAAGUAUACCUCAGUUUUUUAGCUUUAAUUAUUUGAGAAAAAGGUACUUUAUUAUUUUCCUAGAAAGAUGAUAUUUUAUUUUAAUAGUUUUACAGGAAAUUCUAUAUAUUUCAAUAUUAUAUUUUUCUAAGAUAAGAAAAUUGUAAAAUAUGAUAGUCUACCCUACAAAGUAUAAGCUUUUUUGUUACCCCCACCAUACAUUCUCUUUAUUUAAAGGGUACGCUAUUAUAUUUCAAUAGUAUUAUUAUAUUAAGGUUGUAUAAAUGAUAUUUUUGUAAAGAAAACCAUAUAUAUUAUUUUUGUUAAUGGAAGGAUUCAUUUAAGUUCUGAAAAUUAUGCAUGUAUAGAUUAAGAAGGACUGUAUAAGUGUAAUAUAUGUGAUCUGAGUAGACUUUAAAAUUCAAAGUAUAUACAGUGCUAAAUCCUGAAAACAUAGCUAUAAUCAUAGAGAGAGAUCGAGAUCAGAGAGGAGUGCCAUACAGCAGCCUGAAAGAGUAUUUGAUUAUCGUGAAAUAUCUGAGGUAAGAAAGAACAUUCCACUAUAAUAAUAUAAUUAAUAAAGUCAUGAACUACUGUACAAUUGAUUUACAGAAGAAAAGAAAGUAACUAUUUGAGAUUAAACUGUAAAUUAGAGAUAAAGAGUAUAUCUUCUUCACAGCUCGAGGCUGGCACAUGGCACAUGGCUCUUGAAUAACAUCCGAUGUGUCUCUCUUGUUUAUAAGAAUUUAAAACCCAUUCAAAGAUUGUGAUUUAUGCGUCCCUGGGGCUGUGAACAAGUAAGAAAGAGCCCAGGACAUUGAUGAAGACAAGGAAAGAAGACACCUGAGAAGAACCAGAAGAAUAAAAGUGACAGGUUGGAAUACAACCAUUUGGGACAUUUAUUUUUGUAGAUGAAAGUUUAUUUUACUGUAGAUGUGUAAUGAUAUUUAACUCAAUAUAUCAACAACAAGUGUAAACUUA